GAUGAACGCUGGCGGCGUGCCUAAUACAUGCAAGUCGAGCGAACAGACGAGGAGCUUGCUCCUUUGACGUUAGCGGCGGACGGGUGAGUAACACGUGGAUAACCUACCUAUAAGACUGGGAUAACUUCGGGAAACCGGAGCUAAUACCGGAUAACAUGUUGAACCGCAUGGUUCAACAGUGAAAGACGGUCUUGCUGUCACUUAUAGAUGGAUCCGCGCCGCAUUAGCUAGUUGGUAAGGUAACGGCUUACCAAGGCAACGAUGCGUAGCCGACCUGAGAGGGUGAUCGGCCACACUGGAACUGAGACACGGUCCAGACUCCUACGGGAGGCAGCAGUAGGGAAUCUUCCGCAAUGGGCGAAAGCCUGACGGAGCAACGCCGCGUGAGUGAAGAAGGUCUUCGGAUCGUAAAACUCUGUUAUUAGGGAAGAACAAAUGUGUAAGUAACUAUGCACGUCUUGACGGUACCUAAUCAGAAAGCCACGGCUAACUACGUGCCAGCAGCCGCGGUAAUACGUAGGUGGCAAGCGUUAUCCGGAAUUAUUGGGCGUAAAGCGCGCGUAGGCGGUUUUUUAAGUCUGAUGUGAAAGCCCACGGCUCAACCGUGGAGGGUCAUUGGAAACUGGAAAACUUGAGUGCAGAAGAGGAAAGUGGAAUUCCAUGUGUAGCGGUGAAAUGCGCAGAGAUAUGGAGGAACACCAGUGGCGAAGGCGACUUUCUGGUCUGUAACUGACGCUGAUGUGCGAAAGCGUGGGGAUCAAACAGGAUUAGAUACCCUGGUAGUCCACGCCGUAAACGAUGAGUGCUAAGUGUUAGGGGGUUUCCGCCCCUUAGUGCUGCAGCUAACGCAUUAAGCACUCCGCCUGGGGAGUACGACCGCAAGGUUGAAACCCAAAGGAAUUGACGGGGACCCGCACAAGCGGUGGAGCAUGUGGUUUAAUUCGAAGCAACGCGAAGAACCUUACCAAAUCUUGACAUCCUCUGACCCCUCUAGAGAUAGAGUUUUCCCCUUCGGGGGACAGAGUGACAGGUGGUGCAUGGUUGUCGUCAGCUCGUGUCGUGAGAUGUUGGGUUAAGUCCCGCAACGAGCGCAACCCUUAAGCUUAGUUGCCAUCAUUAAGUUGGGCACUCUAAGUUGACUGCCGGUGACAAACCGGAGGAAGGUGGGGAUGACGUCAAAUCAUCAUGCCCCUUAUGAUUUGGGCUACACACGUGCUACAAUGGACAAUACAAAGGGUAGCGAAACCGCGAGGUCAAGCAAAUCCCAUAAAGUUGUUCUCAGUUCGGAUUGUAGUCUGCAACUCGACUACAUGAAGCUGGAAUCGCUAGUAAUCGUAGAUCAGCAUGCUACGGUGAAUACGUUCCCGGGUCU
This 1372-nucleotide ribosomal RNA is filed under the name uncultured bacterium. RNAcentral describes it as "bacterial SSU rRNA". It matches the Rfam family "Bacterial small subunit ribosomal RNA", at positions 28 to 1381 of the family's 1533-position model. The record is from RNAcentral.